Phyllostomus hastatus (greater spear-nosed bat) is the source of this 1156-nucleotide long non-coding RNA. RefSeq lists it as uncharacterized. Lineage: Eukaryota; Metazoa; Chordata; Mammalia; Chiroptera; Phyllostomidae. The record is from RefSeq and is a predicted model, not a curated record. The transcript has 5 exons.
AAAAUAAAAAAAUGAAAUUGACUGAAGUUAAGGCUGUUUUGUAACUUCUUCAGAAAGGAGAAUAUAAAUGCUAGAAGAUCCGUUGAAAUACUCUGAAAGGUGGAAUUUCCCAAGAAAACAAAUAACCAAGCCAGAUUCUGGAAGUGACGCUCAAACUUCAGUGUGCACCCACACACAGAUACCAGGUGCACCCUAGAACUUCUGAUUGGCAGAUCAGAAGUGGGGCCUGAGGAUUUGCACUCGAACAAGUUCCCAGUUGAUGCUGAUUCAGCUGGUCUGGAUAUCACGCUUUGAGAACCAUGAGAUUAUAACACUGCUUUAGCCUGCUCAAAGGGGUGCUUGGGUGCUAGUGCUGUCGUGACCCAGAUCAUUGAACCUCUCUGACAUCCCGUUUUCUCAGCUCUACAAUGAGAGUAAGAUGGAUGAUUUUCAGGGACCUAGUCACACUCGAUUUCAAAGGAUUUUGAGGAGCCUGAUGCAGAACGUUUUGUGCCACUUACAUUUUUGGUUCCCUACAUGUGAACCAGCUCAGUGGUUACACCUCCUCAGGGCGGCUGCUCCCUCCUCACACUGGAAGCCACUGCUCCAGCUCUGGCGGAGGGAACCUCAGGUCCUGCUGAAAGAGCGGUCGGGGUCCAAGUUUCCCAAAGCCUGACUGAUAAUGGCAGGCUGCAGUCUAAAGCAACACCUUUGAAUGCAGGCAUUUAUGAUGAAGGAAGGCACCGAUCCUGGCACCACAUUUUGGGUACCUGCCAUCAUCUUCUCCCUCAUCUUCUUUGCCCUGUUCUUUGUGCUAGGAAGUCUGGCCCACAUGCAAUACAUCAAUGAAUCUUUGACCUUUGAUUUCUGAAGGUAUCAUAUCUGCCAGUUGUGGAGCCUCAGCAAGAGAUCAGAUCUCAGGAGAAGAGUGAGCUCACUGCAUUCUUUACCUGGCUCUCUUUCUGAAGCUUGCCUGGGUCUGGCUGUCCCCUCAAAUGAAAGUAAUUGUUUCUCUUCUUGUGAUUUCUCUAAGUGAUUCUUUCUCUCUAGUUCCUUACAGUUCUUUCCGGUUUCUUCAGGCCCACGGUUGGUGGCAAUUGCUCCCUGUCCACAGCCCAGAGUUGCUUGCCCACACCCUCAAAAUAUGUAGUUCCUUUGUAAAUAAACCCGCCUUUAA